GGUUCCGCAGUUAACUAAGAAGACGAUCGAUUGGCUUGGAGAGGAAAGGAAACCCGGGACUGAAAACUAAAAGGAUAGGAAUGAAUUGAAUAAAGAAAGAAUAUAUAGAACCUUGAGCAUUUUCUCCUCUCGGCAAUGCAAUGGUUGAGAGUAAAAAAGGGGUAUCCGCAUAGAAGGAUUGCUGGUAUACCGGGUAGAUGUUUAUCUUUUUGACUUCAGCGAAAAUGUUC
RNAcentral lists this long non-coding RNA (230 nucleotides) under Nicotiana benthamiana. RNAcentral describes it as "long non-coding RNA (NBEN_LNC038966)". The record is from RNAcentral. Lineage: Eukaryota; Viridiplantae; Streptophyta; Magnoliopsida; Solanales; Solanaceae.